GGGGGCGUAGCUCAGCUGGGAGAGCGCUUGACUGGCAGUCAAGAGGUCAGGGGUUCGGUCCCUCGUCUCCACCA
This 74-nucleotide transfer RNA is filed under the name Collinsella sp. AM15-2. RNAcentral describes it as "tRNA-Ala". It matches the Rfam family "tRNA". Rfam says of the family: Transfer RNA (tRNA) molecules are approximately 80 nucleotides in length. The record is from RNAcentral. Lineage: Bacteria; Bacillati; Actinomycetota; Coriobacteriia; Coriobacteriales; Coriobacteriaceae.